GUGAGAAAGUAGAUUGCAAAAGUAUGGCAGAUGUAUCAAAAAGACGAAAUAAUGAAAGGGAAAGGAGUGUAAGAGGACCAACAACAACAACAGGAAACAAGCAACAGGUGAUGCACCAGGACGCUGCACAGUCAGAGGAUCGUCUUUUGCAAAAUAUUGAAAUCACCUUUCCUCUGCAAGGGUGCGCCAUGUAUUGGGACUUGUGCGGAGUUCGUCAGUCGAGUACUUUUAAAAGGGAUUUUAAUGCUAUAUCGUUUAGUAAGAGUCCUGUGUUUGAUAACGGGUUGGGAGAGCAGCAAAGUGGGCGCCUAGUGCCAGGGAACGGGUGCGGAGAACAGGGUAGCGGGUGUGAAGCGGUGAUACACUUGGGAGUGAAGCAGGCAGCACCGUCCCUGAGCUGGGCGAGCGGGAGAGAGAGACUUCAGUGGCGUUUCGACGUGGCUCUGGAGUGGACGUGCGCAGUGUGUGCGGCGUGUGACGGCGUGUGCGUGUAAACGUGCGCCCACCUGUGAAGUAAUGUUAACUCGAUGUUUAAUGAAGUGUCUCGUAUACUAGGGAACUGUGAAAAAAUCAUUAUUCAUAACUUACAAGGACAAAUUGGCAUUCAUUUAUGAAUACACUGUACUGAGUAGGAAGUGUAAUGUGCUUGCCAACAGUAACCAUCGAUCAACCUUUGUAAGUUCAACGUUUCCGUUUAAAAGGUAAGUCCCUCUAUUAUAUUUUUAGCUGUUAGGAAGAAAUUUACUCAAGAGAAAUUUGCCAGGUACACGUUUGCGAUUUCAGUAGAAAGAAAUAUAUAUGUACACGCCAUUUUCCUUUUGCCAGGUGCGUGCGUAUGUAGAGGUCGGUUAUGUAAUCCACUCAGUUCAUACUUGGGAUGACGUAACCGUGCCUCGUUGUGGAUAAAAAAAAAUCGCAUUGCUUCGUUGUCUCUUAAAUCGGCAGAAGAGGUGGUCUGAGUAAAUAUUUGGCACUUGGGUUCAUAGCGGAGCGUAUUCAGUCAACCACUUUGAAGCGUGCCCAUCAAAGUCCUACUAUUUAUUAUGGCAAACGGAUAUUGAUUGUUUUCAUUGCCUGUCAUUCGCGUGAGGAGUGACUGUGAGGCGCCUUUGUUAAGAGAAACUGAAAGGGAAGGAAAUAGGGAAACUGUGACAGAGUGAAAGCGACUGUGAGUAUUUUUGCGACAUAGAGAUCUUUCGCUUUUAAGAGAUGAUGUUAUGAUUUGCGGAUUCUAUUCUAGAACAUUAGUAAGAGCUCUAUUAAAAAAUAAACUUUGCAUUACUUUCGCUUCAGUUUUAUGCUGGCAGACACCGUAUCAAGUAGGGUUGGUGAUUCUUUUGGUAAACUAGAAAGCUAUUAAUUGCAUAAUAACCUUUAUUAUUUAUAAUCGCAGCUCAUUAUCUUUUGUUAUUAUCAUCUGGGAACACUGCACGUGAAUACAUGACCUUUCACAAGGCAUCUUUUUGUAUGAUCAAUCAUAAUAUCAAUAAUAUCAUCAGUUGGCACUUUCUCGUAUGCAGUUAAUAUUUUUAUUCACCGAAUUUGCAACUAUAAGCAGCCAAUGACAGUUGAGAAAGAGGAAAUAGGGUGAUAUGGCGGAAAUACUGACACGAAGGGACAAGGCAAAACACCCUAAUCUGCAAAAGCCAUUUCAGGGCUAAAAAUUAUUAUUUUGUCUUGUUUAUCUUUUCGAACCCUCAUCCCCUCAUCGUGUUUUCCUUCCUUAACCUCUCUUUCAGAACUCUUAGUCUAAUUUAUUCCCUUUUUACCCCGUCUUGGAUCAUAAAAUAUUACAUUUUCAA
RNA transcript from Penaeus monodon (black tiger shrimp), 1802 nucleotides. RefSeq lists it as uncharacterized. The record is from RefSeq and is a predicted model, not a curated record. The transcript is spliced from 2 exons. NCBI's taxonomy places the organism in Eukaryota, Metazoa, Arthropoda, Malacostraca, Decapoda, Penaeidae.